AUUGAACGCUGGCGGCAUGCCUUACACAUGCAAGUCGAACGGUAACAGGUCUUCGGAUGCUGACGAGUGGCGAACGGGUGAGUAAUACAUCGGAACGUGCCUAGUAGUGGGGGAUAACUACUCGAAAGAGUGGCUAAUACCGCAUGAGAUCUACGGAUGAAAGCAGGGGAUCGCAAGACCUUGUGCUACUAGAGCGGCCGAUGGCAGAUUAGGUAGUUGGUGGGAUAAAAGCUUACCAAGCCGACGAUCUGUAGCUGGUCUGAGAGGACGAUCAGCCACACUGGGACUGAGACACGGCCCAGACUCCUACGGGAGGCAGCAGUGGGGAAUUUUGGACAAUGGGCGAAAGCCUGAUCCAGCAAUGCCGCGUGCAGGAUGAAGGCCUUCGGGUUGUAAACUGCUUUUGUACGGAACGAAAAGCCCCGGGUUAAUACCCUGGGGUCAUGACGGUACCGUAAGAAUAAGCACCGGCUAACUACGUGCCAGCCGCCGUAAAAC
RNAcentral lists this ribosomal RNA (498 nucleotides) under uncultured bacterium. RNAcentral's name for it is "partial 16S ribosomal RNA". It matches the Rfam family "Bacterial small subunit ribosomal RNA", at positions 30 to 526 of the family's 1533-position model. The record is from RNAcentral.